Molecule: long non-coding RNA, 440 nt
Filed under: Homo sapiens (human)
Lineage: Eukaryota; Metazoa; Chordata; Mammalia; Primates; Hominidae
Description: HSALNT0146931
Source: RNAcentral
UUAUUUACAUGCAUUAACUCAUUUAUUUAUUUAUUUUUUCACUGUUCAAGGUUUAUUGGGGGUUUUAGUUGGUAUAACACUUGGAUAGUUAGCUGCAUUGUUUACAUGUAGAUCUUUUUACAUUAUAUGGUAAUGUACACUGCUGAUACAUAUAGUUCACAAAAUAAGAUCCUUUGGAACAAUUAUGCACAAGACAUACGAUAUUGGAUUUACACACUGGAUCCCAGGAUGUGACUGACUGGGAAAAAACGUUGGACUAGGCAUGUUCAGUGAAGGAGCCAGGAAGUUAUAUAACACACGGUAAACAUCCACCUGGCUCAAGGGGCAAAUGCAGCAUGUACAGCAUUGGCAGUGGUGCAUCAGAGGUGGCAGAACUACUUCACACUAACCAGUUUAGGACUACACAAGAUUAAUACCCCCCAGCCCAGAAUCUACAGCUC